This 1073-nucleotide long non-coding RNA is filed under the name Cricetulus griseus (Chinese hamster). RNAcentral describes it as "lncRNA (ENSCGRG00015034977.1)". The record is from RNAcentral. Lineage: Eukaryota; Metazoa; Chordata; Mammalia; Rodentia; Cricetidae.
AAAACUGGUUUUAAAAAGAAAUUUAAAUUUCCUUAAGGUCUUUCUGUAAUAUAUAGAAGCAUUAACAUUUUAAAUCUUAACUGAAAAACUUGUUUUUAAGAUGGUACUUCUAAUUUCCAUGCGGUCACCUUUAGUUAAGAUGGCGGUCUAAGUAUCCUUUUUUUAACUUUAGCAAAAUGGCUACCGUCAGUCAUGUGACCAGCUACAAAAUGGCCGUACCAGGAAAUAGAACAUUUUAAAACAAGCAUACAUAAAUUACUUGAGCAACUUUAGGAUAUGAGGCUUUUCCCAGGCAUCCCAGGCCUCCAAGCAGUGUUGAAUAACAUGCACGGCCUUUUCCCCUAUCAAAGACUGGGAAAGCCAUCUGUAAUUUUCUCUGCUCCUCUGAUGGUAAAAAGGAGUCGGUACCAAAUAGUGGGGGUGCUGAUGGAAGCACACCCGCUGGAUUAACAGGUCUCUUAAAUUUACCGGGGUGUGACCGGUUAUUCCCCAUUUUCUCUCCCCCCUUUUUUGUUUCUUUUUCACCUACCUGAGCUGUUUCCUCUAAAACUUUAUCUCUUGAGCUUUUAGAGUCAUUAGAGCUAUCAAGAUUUAAAGCUUUAAACUUAUUUACAGAAUCAUCUAACAAAUUAUUCACUCCCUUGUCAGUAGACAUUCCAGGAGGUCCUUUUUUCUUAUAUUUUAUUGUUAGGCGCGCCCCAUCUCUCACCACAUUCGGUUUCUGAUAUGUAAUUCUGGACUUCUUUAAGAUUGCUACAACAGUGAGAAAAGUCAAAAUAGCUCCUAGUAAAAGCAUAGAAGCCUCUAUAUUAACCUCCCACAAUAGCAACAUUCCCAAGCCAAAGUCCAGAAAAAUCAUACCUCUCCGAAUUUACCACCCUGCAGUUCUGAAUCCGCCUCGUUAGAGGGGUCUCCGAGGUGCUGGAAAUGUUCACAUGUUCCCGGGUUUCGGCACCAUAUGUCCCGCGCGCUCUCUGUAUUUCUCGCCAGCAAGAAAUCAUACACGGGACACUCGGAUCCUUCUGCAGACAAGCUUUAAUGCGUCUUGAGAGGAGAGCAUAAGCUUACCAGAG